Long non-coding RNA from Lolium rigidum, 637 nucleotides. RefSeq lists it as uncharacterized. The transcript is spliced from 2 exons. NCBI's taxonomy places the organism in Eukaryota, Viridiplantae, Streptophyta, Magnoliopsida, Poales, Poaceae. The record is from RefSeq and is a predicted model, not a curated record.
CACGGCAUCACCCGCCCAGCACGCCGCCUUCCUCCAGCCAAUCGUCGCGUGGGGGGGAAGCUGGAGCACCGAAACUUCCAGGCACGCGAACGGCGGCGGCCAACGGCCGGAGCUUCUCGUUGUCAGCGUACGACAGAGGACCUGAACCAGCAGCCUCCGGGUCAGGGGAGCGGGGAACCUACGAUACCACGACCACGCCGUCGGCCUCAUCACCCCGUCAACAUCCUCGCCGUCCCUCCCGGCGCAUACUCUUCUCUGAAUCUCCAGUAACUAAAGAAGUCAGGAAAUCAGUGUCAAUGAUGUGAUGUGGCAACCUGUUGUGAACCCUAUCAAAAGUUGGCCAGGAAUUUUGAACUUUUGAAGUCAAAGCAAAAAGUCUCCAUUUCCUCCUGCCUCCAAACAACCAACCAACAUGCCAACUACUACUGGAGUUCGACGGCUGAUCUUACAAAGAAUUGACCUAAGAUAAUAGUCUUGGUUCUGGUAAGAUCAAGGUAAUUUGAUUUACCUUUUCCCUUGUCAAUUCAUUCUUAGUGGUAAAUACUGUCAAAUGUCGCUCAGUACCUUUGAAGUAUGAGCUAAGGUGACAGAAAAGUUGGUUUAUUAUUUGUAUUUUUGCAUGAAAAAAUAUUACUUA